Long non-coding RNA from Panonychus citri (citrus red mite), 281 nucleotides. RefSeq lists it as uncharacterized. NCBI's taxonomy places the organism in Eukaryota, Metazoa, Arthropoda, Arachnida, Trombidiformes, Tetranychidae. The transcript is spliced from 3 exons. The record is from RefSeq and is a predicted model, not a curated record.
GAAGUGGCCUAUUCGAUUAUUUUAUUCUCGCAGUUGGUUGUAUGUCAUUUAAUUCAAUUGUUAUAAUCAAUAUGUUAUCAUCAUUCACAGCGAACCAGGCUUUAAUUUGCCAAAAAGUUAACUAUCAAAUCGGUAGACAUUGUAAACUGGAUUUAAAGACGCAAUUAAAGCUUUUAUCAACUUGUGAACGAAUCAAUAUUCACAGAAUUGGAUUCAGUCUUGGAGGACUUUACACUUUAGAUUCAUAUCAUUUUCUUUUGGUAAGUUAAUUACAAUUAGCG